This 506-nucleotide ribosomal RNA is filed under the name uncultured bacterium. RNAcentral's name for it is "bacterial SSU rRNA". It matches the Rfam family "Bacterial small subunit ribosomal RNA", at positions 501 to 1009 of the family's 1533-position model. The record is from RNAcentral.
CUACGUGCCAGCAGCCGCGGUAAUACGGAAGGUCCAGGCGUUAUCCGGAUUUAUUGGGUUUAAAGGGAGCGUAGGCGGAUUGUUAAGUCAGCGGUUAAAGGGUGUGGCUCAACCAUGCAUUGCCGUUGAAACUGGCGAUCUUGAGUGCAGACAGGGAUGCCGGAAUUCGUGGUGUAGCGGUGAAAUGCUUAGAUAUCACGAAGAACUCCGAUCGCGAAGGCAGGUGUCCGGGCUGCAACUGACGCUGAGGCUCGAAAGUGUGGGUAUCAAACAGGAUUAGAUACCCUGGUAGUCCACACAGUAAACGAUGUAUACUCGCGGUUUGCGAUAGACAGUAAGCCGCCAAGCGAAAGCAUUAAGUAUACCACCUGGGGAGUACGCCGGCAACGGUGAAACUCAAAGGAAUUGACGGGGGCCCGCACAAGCGGAGGAACAUGUGGUUUAAUUCGAUGAUACGCGAGGAACCUUACCCGGGCUUGAACUAACGGUGACGAAUCUAGAGAUAG